This 459-nucleotide ribosomal RNA is filed under the name uncultured bacterium. RNAcentral's name for it is "bacterial SSU rRNA". It matches the Rfam family "Bacterial small subunit ribosomal RNA", at positions 340 to 786 of the family's 1533-position model. The record is from RNAcentral.
UACGGAAGGCAGCAGUGGGGAAUAUUGGACAAUGGGCGCAAGCCUGAUCCAGCCAUGCCGCGUGUGUGAAGAAGGCCUUUUGGUUGUAAAGCACUUUAAGCGAGGAGGAGGCUCUCUUAGUUAAUACCUAAGAUGAGUGGACGUUACUCGCAGAAUAAGCACCGGCUAACUCUGUGCCAGCAGCCGCGGUAAUACAGAGGGUGCGAGCGUUAAUCGGAUUUUACUGGGCGUAAAGCGUGCGUAGGCGGCUUUUUUAAGUCGGAUGUGAAAUCCCCGAGCUUAACUUGGGAAUUGCAUUCGAUACUGGGAAGCUAGAGUAUGGGAGAGGAUGGUAGAAUUCCAGGUGUAGCGGUGAAAUGCGUAGAGAUCUGGAGGAAUACCGAUGGGCGAAGGCAGCCAUCUGGCCUAAUACUGACGCUGAGGUACGAAAGCAUGGGGAGCAAACAGGGAUUAGAUACC